Molecule: non-coding RNA, 71 nt
Organism: Glycine soja
Lineage: Eukaryota; Viridiplantae; Streptophyta; Magnoliopsida; Fabales; Fabaceae
Source: Rfam
GUGUAAAUGACGAGUUACUUGGGUUCCCCUUCGAGACAUCAAGGAUGAUGCAGACCUGAUUUUCGGAUGCA